Molecule: ribosomal RNA, 255 nt
Filed under: uncultured bacterium
Lineage: Bacteria
Description: partial 16S ribosomal RNA
Rfam family: Bacterial small subunit ribosomal RNA
Source: RNAcentral
UACGUAGGGGGCAAGCGUUUGUCCGGAAUUAUUGGGCGUAAAGAGCUCGUAGGCGGUGUGUCGCGUCGGCCGUGAAAACCUGCAGCUUAACUGUGGGCUUGCGGUCGAUACGGGCAUCACUGGAGUUCGGCAGGGGAGACUGGAAUUCCUGGUGUAGCGGUGAAAUGCGCAGAUAUCAGGAGGAACACCGGUGGCGAAGGCGGAUCUCUGGGCCUGUUCUGACGCUGAGGCGCGAAAGCUAGGGGAGCGAACAGG